ACGCAGAUAAAGGCGAUUCUAAAGGGUCUGGCAUGGGCCUCGGCCCCCCUAAAAUAAAAAAUUAUCAUUUAGGCCCUAUAAGUUUUUUAAAAAUUUUAAAUUAGUAAAGGUAAAAUUACACUUUGAGCUCCCUAAAAUUAUAAAAAUUUGAUUUAAUUCUUUAAAAAUUAUAAAGAUAUGGACUAUAAAAAUUAAAAUUUC
RNAcentral lists this long non-coding RNA (201 nucleotides) under Gossypium barbadense (sea-island cotton). RNAcentral describes it as "long non-coding RNA (GBAR_LNC017436)". The record is from RNAcentral. Lineage: Eukaryota; Viridiplantae; Streptophyta; Magnoliopsida; Malvales; Malvaceae.